GCCCUGAUAGUAUAAAUAUUACUUUGGUCUUGUAAACCAAAAAUGAGGAGCCAUCCUCUCAGGACA
RNAcentral lists this transfer RNA (66 nucleotides) under Lemniscomys barbarus (Barbary striped grass mouse). Its description in RNAcentral is "tRNA-Thr". The record is from RNAcentral. Lineage: Eukaryota; Metazoa; Chordata; Mammalia; Rodentia; Muridae.